RNAcentral lists this ribosomal RNA (334 nucleotides) under Clostridioides difficile. RNAcentral's name for it is "bacterial SSU rRNA". It matches the Rfam family "Bacterial small subunit ribosomal RNA", at positions 197 to 551 of the family's 1533-position model. The record is from RNAcentral. Lineage: Bacteria; Bacillati; Bacillota; Clostridia; Peptostreptococcales; Peptostreptococcaceae.
AAUAUCAAAGGUGAGCCAGUACAGGAUGGACCCGCGUCUGAUUAGCUAGUUGGUAAGGUAACGGCUUACCAAGGCGACGAUCAGUAGCCGACCUGAGAGGGUGAUCGGCCACAUUGGAACUGAGACACGGUCCAAACUCCUACGGGAGGCAGCAGUGGGGAAUAUUGCACAAUGGGCGAAAGCCUGAUGCAGCAACGCCGCGUGAGGGAUGAAGGCCUUCGGGUCGUAAAACUCUGUCCUCAAGGAAGAUAAUGACGGUACUUGAGGAGGAAGCCCCGGCUAACUACGUGCCAGCAGCCGCGGUAAUACGUAGGGGGCUAGCGUUAUCCGGAUU